This 253-nucleotide ribosomal RNA is filed under the name uncultured bacterium. RNAcentral describes it as "partial 16S ribosomal RNA". It matches the Rfam family "Bacterial small subunit ribosomal RNA", at positions 524 to 776 of the family's 1533-position model. The record is from RNAcentral.
GACAGAGGGUGCAAACGUUGCUCGGAAUCACUGGGCGUAAAGGGCGUGUAGGCGGGAAGGAAAGUCAGAUGUGAAAUCCCUGGGCUCAACCCAGGAACUGCAUUUGAAACUCCCUUUCUUGAGUGUCGGAGAGGAAAGCGGAAUUCCUGGUGUAGAGGUGAAAUUCGUAGAUAUCUGGAGGAACACCGGUGGCGAAGGCGGCAUCCUGGACCAACACUGACACUGAGGAGCGAAAGCCAGGGGAGCAAACGGG